AGCAAUUUUUUUGAGAUAAAACUAACUGUCAAAUUAGAGCUGGUUCUUAGCAUUAGAUUAUUGGUAUUUGAAGUAUCUUGUUAAUUGAGAUAAGGGGAAUAUAGGUUAGGCGCUAGUAAGUAUAUUGCAGCUUUACUAUAGUAUGAAAACCACUCAAUUCAAUCAGUAAAUUAUGUGUAUUUGAGUGGGAAGUUCCAAUUUUUUGUUGCUUCUGUCCGGGUUUUUUAGAUUUUUGUUAACAAAAUUCAUUCUUUAAUUCUAAUUCUAGUUUCACAGUGUCACAAAACCUAACCCCUUUACCUUGCAUGGGCUGUAAUUGAGGAGUGAAGCAUAUAAAUUUCUUGUUAAAGUUAAUAGGCUUAGGAUUUCUAUGCAUGGAUUACUAGAAUCUUUUGGAUUGAUUUCUGUUUGCAAUAAAUUAUUCGUUGGCAUUAUAUUCCUUUUUAAGUUGUAGGAUGGAAACAUGUGUUAUUUCUAUAUAUUUUUUUUUAAGAUGAAGUCUGAGGUCUCCUUCCUAUUAUCUAUGAAUUAUCUAUGAAUGAAUGAACUCAUAGGCUUAUUGAAUGUGGGGAUGCCAAUGAUGACUGGUUUUUUAUCAGUGUUGAUAGUUAUGGGUUUUUCAAAGGCCGCAACCAUCCCUUUAUUUUUAAAGGCAAAUCUGUUAUCUCAAUAAUUCAGUUGACAAAAAAAUAUAUGCAUGUGGUGUUUUCUUCCCUUUUUUUUUUUCGUUCUCUGUGUUUCAACCUUCCAACUACUACUUCUAUCAUAUUUUCUCUCAAAAUUUGCCUAAACUUCCCCUUCUUUGCGCAAAUAUCUCUCCUAUUCUCUUUGUAAGUUAAGAUAAUCAAAUAUUUCUGCGCGAGUGUGUUUUUUUGGCAUAUUUGUUGAAGAAAAUUAGGUUUGAUGUUAGAUUUGUUGUUAAAUUUAUAGUAUAAAACAUUAGUUUGCUUGAUCUAUAGGUUUAUGUUUUUUUUUUCUAAUUUGAGCUUUUUGCAUAAUUAAUUUUACUAAAAUGCAUUAUUAAUUACAAACUAAUAUCUAAUUUAAUGUAUUUAUACUUAUUAUAUAGUUGUGUAUCUUAGUUUU
RNAcentral lists this unclassified non-coding RNA (1086 nucleotides) under Hevea brasiliensis (rubber tree). Lineage: Eukaryota; Viridiplantae; Streptophyta; Magnoliopsida; Malpighiales; Euphorbiaceae. The record is from RNAcentral.